Molecule: long non-coding RNA, 3640 nt
Organism: Sapajus apella (tufted capuchin)
Lineage: Eukaryota; Metazoa; Chordata; Mammalia; Primates; Cebidae
Exons: 2
Source: RefSeq, a predicted model, not a curated record
AUUGGUUUUCUUUGGCCGAAGCCAUAACAAGACUUUAGAUGUGGGUGGGAAGAAAAAAAUAAAAUCAAGUUUUCAAAUCUGAAAAAUGUCUUGGCAUGGGUUUUUCCGAGGCCUGCGAUGUAGACGUUUGUCCUCACUUUAUUUGCUCAGCAAGAUUUUUCUUUCUGUAGGACAUCCCACAUGGAGAUGCAGAACCUGGCAGCCAGAAGGGGCAGUGGCCCUGGCAACCCAUUAACUACAGAUGGAUAGAUACAUAGCUUAGCUCAGCAUCCAGAGUUCUUCGUGGUCUUCACCCAACCUGCUGUUAAAAACUUCUUAACUCCUUCUCCUCUUCAGCUCACCAACUCUGGCUCAGCACAGCCCAGCUGACAUUUUUCAUGCCCUGCACUGCACCAAGAAACCGGAAAGGCACUGGAGUUACCAGGAUGGACAAGACUCAGAACGUUCCCUUGACAGGGACAAUAUUUGGUGUUUCUCAAGAAGGAGCAGUGUCACCCAAACAGGAAAGAGAGAAGAUAGACACAGGUGAGAAAACAGAAGCUAUGAGAGGCUGACUGGCUUUCCCAAGUCUACAUGGCUAGUAAGAACCCAAGAUGGGAUUCAGCCUCAGCUUCCUGGACUUCAGGCCAGAGCUCAAGCAUCAGCACUACAGCUGCCUCAGUGACAUGAAACAAAACCAGGCAGGGCUUGUUCAAGGACAUAAGCUAGCAGCUCACAAUGGGGCCUGAUGGGACAUGUUGCAUCGAAACUAGAAGUUGGCAUUGAGACCCAGGCUCGCUGUGGCUCUACAAAGCUGCCGCCACGUCAGCUGGAUGACACUGAAAUGGACGAGAAUAAAAGGCUUUUUCCUGCAGUGGGUAAUGUCCCCUUACCAGGGCCCAGGAGCUAUUGUGAUGCACUGAGCAUAAAGCUAUUGUGAUGCACUGAGCAGUGGGUAGGUGAAAAGGAGAAUUCUGGGCUGUGAAUGAGACUGCAGGCAAGGGUGAGUCACUCUGAGGCCCUACUAGCUCAGCCUGGCUACCUGGGAUCAGAACCCUCCCACCAGGCCCACCAAGGUCUUCUCUUUCCCUCCACUUCCUCCAGCUUUGAUUGUGCCCUUUCAGUUCCUCAGCCACACAGAGCUCUUUCCUACCUUAAGGUCUUUGGCCACAUUUUUCUCUUUUCCUGUAACAUUCCUUCCUGUUCUUUGCAAGUCAGACUCUUCCACAUAAAUGUUCCCAUCUCAGAAAGUCUUGUUGUGGCCGCUAUGGUGGGUUAAAUAGUGACCACUCCACUCCAAUAAGACAUGUCUAAAUUCUAACCCCUGGAACCUGAGGAGGUGACCUUGUUUGGAAAAAUGGGUCUUUGCAGGUGUAAUUAAGUUCAGGGUCUCCAGGAGAGAUCAUUCUGGAUUUAGGUGGGUCCUAAAUCUAUGACAGGUGUCCUUAUAAGAAGAGGACAGAACUCAGAGACAUUUAGGGAGAAGAAGGUAAUGUAGAGAUAGUGGCAAAGAUGGAGUGGGAAGCCCAAGUCAAGGAAUGCUGACAGCCACCAGCGUCUGGAAGAGGCAAAGACGGAUUCUCCCCUGGAGAUGUCAGAAAGACAGCAGCCCUGCAGAUCUGAUUUCAGACUUCUGAACUCUAGAGCUGUAAGGCACUAUAUUUCUGUCAUUUAAAAGCCAUCAAGUUUGUGGUGAUUUUUGCAGUAGAUCUAGAAAACUAAUACAGUCACCUAAUCCAAGUAACACCUCCGCCCUCCCCACGUACACAUUGUUGGAAUUCACUGCUAAUUUUAUGUUUGCCUCUUUCAUGUCAAUGAUUGAUUUCUAACGCUCCCAUCAUUUGGGAUGUUCUGUGUUUUGUCCGUAUUCCCUCUUCAGAUCUCUUUAGGCUCCCGUUGGCUGAGAAUUUUAGACCUUCCUCAUUUUUGAUGACCUAGAUAGUUUUGCGGAAUACUGGUCAGGUAUUUUAUAGAAUGUCUCUCCACCAGAAUUCAACGUUUUCCUCAUGAUUAGACAGGGAUUAAGGUGUUUUUUUUUUUAAAGAAAGAGGAAGAUCUCAUAGAUGUAAAGUGCCAUUCUAAUCAUAUCAUAUCCAGGGUACUCACCAUCAAUAAUAUAUAUUGUUGUUGAUAGUAACCUUGAUCAUUUGGCCAAGGCAGUGCCGGUCAGGUUUCUCCAGUGCACAGUUACUCUUUUGCUUUCUUUCUAUACUGUACUUUGGAAGGAAGUCGCUAAUGAGAAGCUAUAAUUCAUUUUUAAGUUACAGUUAAGCUUUGAUUUAAUAAGCAAUGCUUUAAAUAACAUCCACAUUGAUUGUCACAACUCUCUCAAUGGAAAAUUGAGAGUCAGAGAGGUUAAGCUAUCUUCUCAAAGUCACACAGCUAAUAAGUAGAAAAUGGAGACAAAUUGUUAGAUCUGACUCCAAAGUCUGACCUUCUCACCAUGCUCUUUUCAUACUGACGCCUUAGAGCACUAAUCAGCUAAAUUCUUAACAUAAACAUCUAAAUGUUCUGGGUCUUGCUCUGCUGAGAGUGAAAUAGAAAAGUGGGUUGGGGGAGGAUUCAUUUACCAUCUGCACUGCCUUUGGAAAUGUUUAAUACACAAUCUAUUCUACAUACCAACAUAAAUAGUAAACUAAAGUCCAUAGGUAGUCAAAUUUCCUUAGUUUAUCUUUGUGCCCCCAACACUAUGAAUAGGAGCCAUACAUCAUGUCAGCUCUGCCGGUACACCUGGAGGCCUCAUAAUCUAGCUUUGACAAUCUAACCCAUUCACAGCAAAAAGUCGUGGAAGAGCCCAAAGUGCUUUAGGAACACUAUCAAGGGCUAUAGGAAAAAGUUAAUAUAACAUCCUCCGAUAUCACAGUUUAAAGGACUUGAAGGCUCAGAGUGGUAGUAACUUACCGAAGGCUACGCAGGGAGAUACUGGUAAAGCAGGAACAAGAAACCAGAUCUUUGAUUUAGCAUAAGGCUCUUUCUGUUUAAGACGGGUGGCCUCCAAGAAAUAGCACCUCAUGGCUGAUCAUUGUUCACACUUGGCAGGCUCCAUUGAUAAAAGCUGAGUCUGAGAAAUGGGCAUCCUAUUACUGGUAAGUAUCUUCAUAUUAUCAUGACACCAUCUGACCAGCCAAGUGGGGACAUGUAGCUAAUUCCUUAUGAGCUUCAUCUGUCCCUCACGAGUCCAUCUUUAACCUCUAGGCUAACCAGGGCUGAUGAUGAAGGCACCAAAAUACAGGAAAUACCUAAACAGACUGAAACCAAAGAAAAAAGGAGAGACUCCAGGAUCCCAUGUCUGCUAUCUUCCUGUCCUACAGGGAGACAUCCUUCUGCUGAGGUCAUUUCGAGAGCUUGGGUGAGGACCACAUAAGAAGAAACUGCAGUCUCACUAGUCUGCAUAACCAAGGACAGAAAUCAGGUGACGUGUGCUGGACAUAUUUUCUUUUAUAGGAUUCAAUGAGAUCACAAAAUCAAGGACUACUGCAGUAAGUCAAUGGCAUCUAAAAAUGCUCAGAGUAGAUUCCUUUUAGGUAUUUGUGUAACAGUUUCAGCAGUGGCAAACAUCUCUGUCAAAAUUUCUCUUCUGUGUUAUCUCCAGCAAGUGUAAUGACAUGAUUGUUAUCAUUUUACAAAGGAAUAAAAUUAAAGCUCAGAGAAGUUAAAUCUC